GUAGGUGGCAAGCGUUGUCCGGGAAUUAUUGGGGCGUAAAGCGCGCGCAGGCGGUUCUUUAAGUCUGAUGUGAAAGCCCACGGGCUCAACCGUGGGAGAGUCAUUGGAAACUGGAGAACUUGAGUACAGAAGAGGAAAGCGGAAUUCCACGUGUAGCGGUGAAAUGCGUAGAGAUGUGGAGGAACACCAGUGGCGAAGGCGGCUUUCUGGUCUGUAACUGACGCUGAGGCGCGAAAGCGUGGGGAGCAAACAGGAUUAGAUACCCUGGUAGUCCACGCCGUAAACGAUGAGUGCUAAGUGUUAGGGGGUUUCCGCCCCUUAGUGCUGCAGCUAACGCAUUAAGCACUCCGCCUGGGGAGUACGGCCGCAAAGGCUGA
Molecule: ribosomal RNA, 377 nt
Filed under: uncultured organism
Description: partial 16S ribosomal RNA
Rfam family: Bacterial small subunit ribosomal RNA
Source: RNAcentral